Molecule: ribosomal RNA, 324 nt
Filed under: Colocharis napoana
Lineage: Eukaryota; Metazoa; Arthropoda; Insecta; Hymenoptera; Eucharitidae
Description: partial 28S ribosomal RNA
Rfam family: Eukaryotic large subunit ribosomal RNA
Source: RNAcentral
UCUAGCAUGUGCGCGAGUCAUUGGGACUUUUUUUUCAGGAAAGCCCAGAGGCGCAAUGAAAGUGAAGAUCGGCCUUUUCGGCUUGAUCGAGGGAGGAUGGCUCAUUGUUAUUUUUUUAUAAUGACGGGCUCGCACUCCCGGGGCGUCUCGCGCUCAUUUCGAGCGGAGGCGCACCCAGAGCGUACACGCUGGGACCCGAAAGAUGGUGAACUAUGCCUGGUCAGGACGAAGUCAGGGGAAACCCUGAUGGAGGUCCGUAGCGAUUCUGACGUGCAAAUCGAUCGUCGGAACUGGGUAUAGGGGCGAAAGACUAAUCGAACCAUC